This 564-nucleotide ribosomal RNA is filed under the name uncultured bacterium. Its description in RNAcentral is "bacterial SSU rRNA". It matches the Rfam family "Bacterial small subunit ribosomal RNA", at positions 338 to 916 of the family's 1533-position model. The record is from RNAcentral.
CCUACGGGAGGCAGCAGUGGGGAAUAUUGCGCAAUGGGCGAAAGCCUGACGCAGCGACGCCGCGUGCGGGAUGAAGGCCUUCGGGUUGUAAACCGCUGUCGGGAGGGACGAAUCAAUGACGGUACCUCCAAAGGAAGCACCGGCUAACUCUGUGCCAGCAGCCGCGGUAAUACAGAGGGUGCAAGCGUUGUCCGGAAUUACUGGGCGUAAAGGGCGCGUAGGCGGUUCGGUAAGUAGGGGGUGAAAUGCUGCGGCUCAACCGCAGCCCUGCCUUCUAAACUGCCAGACUUGAGCGUAACAGAGGCAGGUGGAAUUCCCGGUGUAGCGGCGGAAUGCGUAGAGAUCGGGAAGAACAUCGGUGGCGAAGGCGGCCUGCUGGGUUACUGCUGACGCUGAGGCGCGAUAGCGUGGGGAGCAAACAGGAUUAGAUACCCUGGUAGUCCACGCCGUAAACGAUGGGUACUAGGCGCUGGGGGGAGCGACCCCCUCGGUGCCGUCGCUAACGCAAUAAGUACCCCGCCUGGGGAGUACGGCCGCAAGGCUGAAACUCAAAUGAAUUGACGG